UGUCCAGGUAGUUUAAGUAAAACGUUGGUUUGUGGGGCCGAAGUUAUAAAUUAAUUUAUUUUGGACAG
RNAcentral lists this transfer RNA (68 nucleotides) under Amphionides reynaudii. RNAcentral's name for it is "tRNA-His". It matches the Rfam family "tRNA". From Rfam's summary of the family: Transfer RNA (tRNA) molecules are approximately 80 nucleotides in length. The record is from RNAcentral. Lineage: Eukaryota; Metazoa; Arthropoda; Malacostraca; Decapoda; Pandalidae.